This 253-nucleotide ribosomal RNA is filed under the name uncultured Spirochaeta sp. Its description in RNAcentral is "partial 16S ribosomal RNA". It matches the Rfam family "Bacterial small subunit ribosomal RNA", at positions 524 to 776 of the family's 1533-position model. Lineage: Bacteria; Pseudomonadati; Spirochaetota; Spirochaetia; Spirochaetales; Spirochaetaceae. The record is from RNAcentral.
UACGUAUGGGGCGAGCGUUGUUCGGAUUUAUUGGGCGUAAAGGGCGCGUAGGCGGUUCGGAAAGCCUGGUGUGAAAGGCUAUGGCUUAACCAUAGUUUUGCGCUGGGAACUGCCGGACUGGAGUUUAGGAGGGGAAGCUGGAAUUCCUGGUGUAGGGGUGAAAUCUGUAGAUAUCAGGAAGAACACCGGAGGCGAAGGCGAGCUUCUAUCCAUAGACUGACGCUGAGGCGCGAAAGCGUGGGGAGCAAACAGG